RNAcentral lists this long non-coding RNA (274 nucleotides) under Rhinopithecus bieti (black snub-nosed monkey). RNAcentral's name for it is "lncRNA (ENSRBIG00000045203.1)". Lineage: Eukaryota; Metazoa; Chordata; Mammalia; Primates; Cercopithecidae. The record is from RNAcentral.
GCAAUUUAUAUUUAGGGAACAGCCUUCAGCCACUUUUCUUAGAGAGGGGCAGUGUAACCAUCAGACACUAGAAGGCUUCCUGGACUUCUCAGUAUACCAUGCAAUGGCAGCUUUUUGAAGAUCAGUAAUAUGAAGUCUGUCCUAAAGAACACUGAAGGUAUCGCUACUGGAAAACAAUGCCAUUCUCGUAUGGUCCACAAGGAAAAGAAGGAAGGAAUAUCUGCCGGGUGGCAGGGGAAGGCCAAAGCACAAGCCAUUUUAUUCCUGAUGGGCU